Molecule: non-coding RNA, 85 nt
Filed under: uncultured Prevotella sp.
Lineage: Bacteria; Pseudomonadati; Bacteroidota; Bacteroidia; Bacteroidales; Prevotellaceae
Source: RNAcentral
UCUAAGGGGUGCUGCGGUUGUUGCCGCGGCUGAGAUCAUACCCAUGAACCUGAUCCGGGUAAUGCCGGCGUAGGUAGAGGAUAAU